Molecule: ribosomal RNA, 450 nt
Filed under: Triticum aestivum (bread wheat)
Lineage: Eukaryota; Viridiplantae; Streptophyta; Magnoliopsida; Poales; Poaceae
Description: partial small subunit ribosomal RNA
Source: RNAcentral
CGUCGUGCGUAUGACCAUACCAUACCACUGAUGCCGGGCGCGCAACCAGUUAAUGUCAGGCCAUAUCGGCACAAGCCGGAGCACAAGACAGAAAUUGAGCGGCAAGUAGCUGAACUGCUGCAGUCAGGGGUCAUUCAGCGCAGCCACAGCAGCUUUUCGUCGCCUGCGAUCUUGGUCAAGAAGAAGGACGGGACGUGGCGUCUGUGCAUUGACUACCGCCCUCUCAAUGCCAUGACGCGCAUUAGCAAAUUCCCUGUCCCUGUAAUCGAGGAUCUGCUUGAUGAAUUACAUGGAGCGAAGUGGUUCUCCAAACUUGACCUGCGCGCAAGAUAUCAUCAGAUCCGGCUGGCAGAAGGGGAAGAAUUCAAGACCGCGUUUCAAAUUCACUUGGGCCAUUAUGAGUUUAAAGUGCUCUCCUUCGGUCUAGCAGGCGGGCCGGCAACAUUCAUU